UACGUAGGGGGCAAGCGUUGUCCGGAUUCAUUGGGCGUAAAGAGCGUGUAGGCGGCCAGGUAGGUCGGUUGUGAAAACUGGAGGCUCAACCUUCAGAGGUCGACCGAAACCAUCUGGCUAGAGUCCGGGAGAGGAGAGUGGAAUUCCUGGUGUAGCGGUGAAAUGCGCAGAUAUCAGGAAGAACACCCGUGGCUAAGGCGGCUCUCUAGUACGGUACUGACGCUGAGACGUGAAAGCGUGGGAGCAAAACAGG
Molecule: ribosomal RNA, 253 nt
Filed under: uncultured bacterium
Lineage: Bacteria
Description: partial 16S ribosomal RNA
Rfam family: Bacterial small subunit ribosomal RNA
Source: RNAcentral